UGGGGGUAUAUAAUAUAUCAUAUCUCACUCCUCCAUCAUCUGUGUCCUAUGGGCAUAGACAUAAUACCCAUGGUGUGCAGAUGUGCCGUAUGAUAACCCACUAGAUAAGUACUCAAAAACAUAUCUCAAAAUCUCAUAUUCAAACAUCGAAGCUCAAAAACUCAAACCUCGUCUCAUAAAUCCAUAAUCAUUCGUAAUCUUAACUUCGUAAAAUAAUUCAUAUUCGUAAGCCAUGGAAAUAGCCAUAUUCAAAUCCAUAGGAAUUCAUAUAUGCAAAUCCGACAUUUCAUAACCUUUAAUAAAACGUAGUUCAAUAUAUCAUAAUAUUUAGUAAAGCAAUUUAAUUAAAUCAUGAAUUUUAUGUAACCCAUAAUCAUAGAAAUCCGAAACGCAUAAUAUAAAACAUAUUCGAUGCAUGAAUAUGAAAUGCAUGCUAGAUCAAUAUUUUAUAAAAAUAUAUAAGUUUAGAAGGGAUCCACCCAUUGAUUUUAUUGCCCGAAGCCGCUCGAACUAUCAAGGAUGUCAUCCUUUCCCGCUACCGCGCCUAAACAAAAAUUGGGACCUUUUAGUAAAACUAUACUAAAACAUUAUAAUUUGGGAAAAAAGAUGGCAGAUUCGGAUUCGGCAUGUUGAGG
RNAcentral lists this long non-coding RNA (635 nucleotides) under Malus domestica (apple). RNAcentral's name for it is "long non-coding RNA (MDOM_LNC014327)". Lineage: Eukaryota; Viridiplantae; Streptophyta; Magnoliopsida; Rosales; Rosaceae. The record is from RNAcentral.